This 253-nucleotide ribosomal RNA is filed under the name uncultured bacterium. Its description in RNAcentral is "partial 16S ribosomal RNA". It matches the Rfam family "Bacterial small subunit ribosomal RNA", at positions 524 to 776 of the family's 1533-position model. The record is from RNAcentral.
UACGAACUGUGCAAGCGUUAAUCGGAAUUACUGGGCGUAAAGCGCGCGCAGGCGGCUUUCUAAGUCCUUUGUGAAAUCCCGGGGCUCAACUCCGGAUAUGCAUGGGAUACUGGAAGGCUAGAGACCAGUAGAGGCUAGCGGAAUUCCUGGAGUAGCGGUGGAAUGCGUAGAUAUCAGGAGGAACAUCAGUGGCGAAGGCGGCUAGCUGGGCUGGGUCUGACGCUCAUGUGCGAAAGCGUGGGGAGCAAAUAGG